GUCAUCAGCUCUCCUAGCUCUUGCUCUGUGCCUAGUUGGAGGAAGGGAAAAUUUCACCUUCUUCAUCCUUUACAAAUUUGCAUUAGCAGGAGAAAAUAUUUGUAUGAGCGGUUCUUUGUGUUUAGAGAUUCUGGUAAAGAUUCUUGUUAUGAGUACCCUUGUUUUCUGUUGAUCCCUUUUGUUCCAGAGUCUGGUCAUUGUUUUCUGUUGUCUCUUUUGUCAUAAAGAGGAGAACGAUAGGCCAGAGGUUUUCCUUUCAUUUUUGUUUGUGUCUUGAGAGCUUGGCUUUUUGACCAGUGAGAAUACUUACCGUGGUUUCCACUAGAGGGAAGAUGCAAGUAUGGGUUUAUAUGUGGCAGCCAGUCAAAUACGGCUGGGGAUUCAAGACAGAAGUGAGAAGCGGCGUUCUAUCCCACUGUGCCAGCUAUCGGGGAGUUUGUCUUAGGGGUUCCCAGUCCAUAAGGGGCCUGUCGUCUCAACCUUCAUUGUCUCAGUGCCAGAACAGUCCCAUUCCAGUAGCAUGUGUCUGGUGUCACAGAUUAGCAGUUCUGGGACUAGAGGUGUCUCACGUUCUCAUGGGAAGCAAGAGACAUCCUUUCACUACAUUAUUCUUACUGCCUGUGACAAGGGAAGGUCUUUGGUUUCUUAUGCUAACCCAAAGAGUGAACUUCCUGGAUCUUUUAAGGACUGCAUCUUUUCCAACAAAGGGUUGGACACCUCUUGUCUGCCCAAAGGGGCACCUCUUGCAUCCACGGUUAAGCCAUAAAAAAAGCUCAUGUGUUUGAGUCCCUGUGGAGAUUAAUACAAGAUUCUACUCAUCAAUAGCCAGAUGAUGGAUCCUUUGAAUUGGAAAUACUUAAAUGUUUAAAAAAAAAUUUAGAGGUUUCUCGGUCUAAAUGGAUGUCUUAUGGUAUUUGUGGAAUGAUAAAUUGAAAAGAGGACAUGAAGGAAUAUAGCAUCCAUUUUUAAGGACUCUCUUAAGAUGAAGUUACAAAGCUCUUCUUAUCUCCACUUUCAGAAGAUUCUAUCAGAUUUAGAGAAGAAGUAGAUCAGGGGCCGUUCACAACUCUAUUCACAGGGACCUUGACUGGCUGCUCAGGGGUCUUCUUCCCACCCGUGUUUACGUUGUAACUGAUUCACAGUUAAAAUGUUAACGAUGAUAGGUAUAAGGUCUCUGUUUGUGUCUGUGUUUAUGUGUGUCGUAGAUACAUUUUUCUACCUCCAGAUGGUAUUGCCAAAAUUAAUUUGUAAACCAGCUCUACUUAAUUCACUCAGAGAGAACUGCUUAUAUGAAUUAAGCAUUUCUAGACUCAGAAGUAUAGAAACUAACCCAAAUGUUUUCCAAGUUCAUAUGAUCUAGAAAAAUAUUCAGUAAAAGAAAAAAAAAACUAGUUUAAUUUAGUUUAAUUGAAAUAGGUAUGCUUUCAAGAUUGUCAACUUUGGAUGUAAUGCAGACAUACAGCUUUUAUUCUACUGGGUUUAUUAGUCAAAUGAGUUCCUCUUAUUUCUGUUACAAAACCUGUCAGCAAAAUAACAGGAUGAUGGCCAUAAUGUCUCAUGAAAUAUUUAGAAGUAAUCUCAGCAUGAUUAAGAACAAGUGAAUUAAGUAAAUUUAAGUGGGAUUAAAGUUUAUGAAUGAAAUUUUCAAUAAUGAUGUUUUAUAACAUAUGUCUACUUUAAAAUAGCUUUCAAAAUCUUUUUGGUAAUUUUAAUCCAUAAAAUUUUCCUAAGUUAAAUGAUGGAAAUUCAUUGGAAUAUCUAAAUUUCCAAAUAUAAAAUACUGACACAUUACUGAAUGUAGGUUUAUCUACUUUUGGCUUAAUACAGAGAAACUAAACAUAUUUGGGUCUGUUAGUAAAUGUCUUGUGCCACAUUGAAAAAUUGUACUGUAAAGCAGCAUAUGCUUCUAGAAAUUAUGAAAUGUAUUCCUAAAUUUGCCAAACUACAGUUGAUAACUGCUGCUUAGUUUUAGAAAUUAAGGUUUCAGAGUGUUGGGAAUUAAAACUACUAGAAAUAGUAAGGAAAACCUCUCUGUAUGCAAGGAAAGUAAGAUGUGGUUUGGGUUAAGAAAAGGUAUGAGGUACAAAGAUGCAUUUCUGUUACAGGAAAGUGAAGUUGUGUUCUAGAGUAGAAUGAGUUGUUUCAGAAGAGGAAGAGAGUAAAGGAAAACUAAUUGGAUAUAGAAAGUUGGAAAGAGAAAACCUUGUGUAAUUAAGCUAAAAUGGAAUGAAUUCAUAAAUGUGUAAAGAUAAACUUGACUAUCAGUAGUAUAUUCGUGUAAAACUAAAGCUUGGUUUUCUUUCAUCUGCUAAAGGUGUAACUGAACCAACUUGAGUUUGCUUCUUGGCCAGUCACAGUGAACUCUCCCCAGAUCUUUAAUCAUGGCCAUUUUUAAAGUGUUUUGCCGUGUACAGAAGCUAUUGUUUUGCUUUUGCAAAACUCCUUCAUCUUCAGAGAGAUUCACAGAAAGGACUCCCGACAAGUACAGGUUUGUGGUAACUUUCAAAUCCUAUCACCGAACUUACAAAACUCUAUGGAAAAAGUGGAAUUAUAAAAGAUCAGGAUCAAUGAGAGUUACAUGGGACUGAAUGAACGGUUGAGGAUGAUUUUAAUUUUUAUGACUUUGUUUGAAAUGCUUAUUUCCAGGUUUAAGGAAACCUUUUUCUUUUAAGCUACCUAUGACUUACAGCAGUUUGGUAAAGUACAUAUUAAUGAACAAGAUGAAACAAGUACUUUUUCUCCCUACCUAAUCCCUUCAGAAUUUGGAAACUCAGCCAUUCUUAUUUUCAUGGUAAUACAGUUAUUUGUGUAAGUUCAAUAAGCAUCUGUUCUUGUAAGAGGAAUAGUUAGAAACAUUGGUUAUAUUUCCACGACUUUGAGUGGAAUGUCGUAUUUGCAAACGUCCACAGGAUCAGACGUGACUGUGCAGUUUUAGGAAGGUUAGGUUGACUUUAUGGAGUUAGCACAGGCCCCUUACAGGGUUCCAGGCAGCCUUACCAGGUGAGAAAGGGGACUUCCCGGCAGAUGCAGGGACCUUAGGAUAUCUGGGGGAUCUUAAGAGAGGAACUAACCCAAAUCCAUAAGUACUGUAGGCAAAAUGAGGGAAGAUCUUGGCUUUCUGACCUCAGUAGGCUCUUAAAAAGUCCAACCUGAGAUUCCUUACAGUAAGUUCCAAUAAAACACAUUUAAAAGAGUGUAUAUGGUCAGCCACUAUUCUUGUUAUUGUAAAUAAUCAGGCCAAGUGCAAUUUUAUUGUCCUUUGCUGGAGGUGGGGAUGAUUACAGAGAAAGAUGGUGCUUCAGCAGGAGCUGUGAUACACCCUUGUGGAUAGCAGAUUCUAGCUGUGUUGUCUGAGGUUUCUUUACCUGUAAAUGGAUUUAAUCCUGAAUUCUUCCAGUUUCCUUGCAUAAUCUAGCUAUAGACCUCUUCAAACUAACGUUCCCAAUUUUCCUCUACUCUUUUUUGACUUGGAAUCACUAAAAACAAACUGCAUAAAAUUCCUAGAAAUUUUAUAUGUCCUGCUGUAAUGUUCUCACUUAGAAUUCUAGGUAUCUUGAAAUGCGGGUCACAGAAGUAACCAGAUGUCCUUGUCAGCUGCAUUAUAGCGAACUCUCAUCAGAUCUUUAAUGACGGCCAUUUUUCAUGAUCUCCAAGGAACUACAGCACCGUUGACCCCUGGACACCGCAGGAGUUUGGGGUGAUCUCCUGGCACAGUCGAAACGUGCAUAUAACUUUUGACUCCCCAAAAACUUAACUACUAAUACCCUUCUGUUGACCAGUCUCACCAAUAACAAACAAUUAACAUACUUUGUAUGUGAUGGAUGUUAUAUACCAUAUUCUUACACUAAAGCUAGAGAAAAACUGUUACGAAGAAAAUCAUAAGGAAUAUACACUUUACCAUAUUUAUCAGGAAAAAAGCUCAUGGUUAAGCGGACCCGUGCAGUUCAAACGUGUGUCCUUCAAGGGUCAACUACACAUGAAGAAACAAUUCCUGUAAACCCAGUGAGUGGACACAACACAUAUCUGCACCCAGGAGGGUAAGUCUGGAGUGGAAUUCCUCUCCAAACACCUUGUGAUUUUUAGGAGAGGAGAAAAUGCCUAAUCUGUAACCAUACGGAGCUGAAGCACUGGUCCCUCGUGCCCCCUGAAUAAUCUUUUGAGCUUCUGGGGAAACAUCAUUAAAUAAUCCUGAGAUGAAUUUGGAGCUUGUUUUUCAUAUUGAUAACUUGAAGCCUUUGCUUUUUGGAAAAAAAAAAAAUGUCCCUCCUGGAAGAGCUGGGUGGCAGCCAAGACUGCUAUUCUUUGCACAACGACACCAGUAAAUGGGUUAAUCCUCCACUAAUUAGCUAAUGUAACUCUGCUCCUCAGAGAAAAGCCUGCUCUCAAGAAAUACAAGGUAUGAUUUGUUCAUAGUUACUCCCUAAGCCUGGACAGAACUCUUUUCUGGUUUACUACCAUGACCUAGAAGGAAGAGACACUCUUCUAUGAGGUCAGGAUGUCUCGUGCAAGGCUGCGGAAAAGACAAGGGGAGGACAAUGGCACCCCACAGAACACAGCCCCACCUCGCAGAGAAGUGACAGCGACAGCUCUCUCCACUCUCUGGGCAGAUGUCAAUGCAGGUCCCUGCAGCUAGCACCAGGGCAGCUCUGCAGAGGACGUGGAAUGCCUGGCCGGGGUGGGUCAGAGCAGCUCUAAGCAUCAGACCCCCUCCGCACCCCAGCUCAGUUUGCGACCUAAUUUGGGAGCACUGUGGAGAGAGAUUGGGAAGCCUGCUCCCAGAUAUUUAUUAGAACGAGCAUUGCUCAACUUUGGCUGUGCAUGAGCACCUCUGAGGGGCUUGGAAAAGAUGCCCCGACUCGAACCCAAGAACUAUGGAUCUCUACUCUGAGGUCCAGAAGACAGUCUUUUUAAAAAAAUCUCUGCAGGGGAUUGCAUUAUGCAGGCAAGGCUGGGGAUCCAUGCACAAGCAUCCACGUAGGCUCCACCCUUAGCACCCCCGAGAUUAGCUCCCAGGCUCAGCCCACACCCACCCCAACUAAAUCAGAAUCUCGAGCUGGACCCACGUGCCAGGUUCCUCCUAAAGAUCCCCAGGGAAUUCCAGUGUGCAUCCACCUCAGAGAACCAGGUUUCCAGGCCAGUGAUUCUUCAACUUUCCAAUGUAUUUGAGUUACCUGGAAUCUUGUUAAAGUACA
Molecule: long non-coding RNA, 5192 nt
Organism: Ailuropoda melanoleuca (giant panda)
Lineage: Eukaryota; Metazoa; Chordata; Mammalia; Carnivora; Ursidae
Exons: 3
Source: RefSeq, a predicted model, not a curated record